CAUCCAUGCUAUAUAAUAUAUACCUGGAAGGUUUUUUUUUAGGGGGAAAAUCAUGAAAAAUGUGAAAAUAUAUUAGAUUCACAACCCAUAAUUAUAAAAUAUACAAUAUUUUCAGUAAAUAAAAAGUUAAACUCAUCAAAUAUAAAUCCUGAAUCAUGUCGAUGUCGAUGGAAGAGCAUACAUUGGACCUUUUCACAUUUAUCAAUAUUUAUUCAUCUUUCGAAGUCCAAUAUACUUCUUUCCGUUUAAAUUUAUUUAUCAUACUUUUUCUUUAUAGUCUGUUUAAG
RNAcentral lists this unclassified non-coding RNA (287 nucleotides) under Hevea brasiliensis (rubber tree). Lineage: Eukaryota; Viridiplantae; Streptophyta; Magnoliopsida; Malpighiales; Euphorbiaceae. The record is from RNAcentral.